CGGGGGAUGGGUUCCGGCUUCCUGCCGCCUCGGCAUCUCGCUUUGCACCGGGCAAAGAAGGGGCCACGACCGGCGAAGAGCGCGUGGAGACGCAGGGACCCGCGAUCCAGGGGCAGGAACCCCGCCCCCUCCCGGAAACCUCCCGGGCCCUGAGUCGUGCCCGGCGCUCCCCACCCCACCCCCGCCGCCCCUGCCGUCACUCACGGCCGCUGCGGGCUGGCUAGCGUGUGCGCUCUCCGCGCCGCAGGCACCUGCUCGCUGGGCGCUGUGCGCUCACUUCUCCCUCGCGCACUGCAGACUCCCGGCGCUGCCGCCGCCACCCAGCGUAGUCUCCGGCUGGGCACAGCGUUCCGCCCUUCUCGCGGCCCCGGGCGCCCACCCACCCACCAUGGCCCAGGCCUGGGCCAAACAGCGGGGCAGCUGGUUGCCCAAACUGGGGUCUGCGCGCCGCGGCUGAGCGCCCACUCGCCCUGCGGAAAGAGCCGCGGAGGAACCGGCGGGGGCGGCGGCGGGAGCCGAAGGAGGUGGCAGUCGGGAGCAGAACCAGAAGGAGACAGGGAGGCAGAAGCUCGCGGCUCCGUGGCACGCACUCCCUCGGCCAGGGAUGGGUCCCGGCGCGGCCCAGCCCCUGCCCGGCCCGCCGGGCAGAGACUGAACCGCGGAUCCCCACCGUCCUGUGGACGACCAGACAGAGAGAGGCACUGACCGAUCGCCAGCAGCCUCCCGGUGGGACCGCGUCUCCUGCACACCCCGCGCAGCGCCCCCCGCCGGAG
Molecule: long non-coding RNA, 773 nt
Filed under: Pan troglodytes (chimpanzee)
Lineage: Eukaryota; Metazoa; Chordata; Mammalia; Primates; Hominidae
Description: long non-coding RNA NONPTRT008060
Source: RNAcentral